Molecule: transfer RNA, 70 nt
Filed under: Opistholeptus burmanus
Lineage: Eukaryota; Metazoa; Arthropoda; Insecta; Hemiptera; Pachygronthidae
Description: tRNA-Met
Source: RNAcentral
AGAAAGGUAAGCUAAAUAAAGCUAGUAGGUUCAUACCCUUCUUAUAGAAGUAUAAUUCUUCUCCUUUCUA